UGAGAUUUUCAGGGUCGGGUGAGUUCAUCAAUAUAUAUUAAGAUUGAUGAAUAAUUCCCUACCGGCGGUAUAGCCCGCGACUUGGCUGCUGUAAGUCAGCAGCUGACUGAACCGGUGGAAUUCCGGUGCCGACGGUAUAGUCCGGAUGAAAGAAAAUCGAG
RNAcentral lists this non-coding RNA (161 nucleotides) under Gracilinema caldarium. RNAcentral's name for it is "Treponema caldarium FMN sequence". It matches the Rfam family "FMN riboswitch aptamer (RFN element)". From Rfam's summary of the family: The RFN element is a highly conserved domain that is found frequently in the 5'-untranslated regions of prokaryotic mRNAs that encode for flavin mononucleotide (FMN) biosynthesis and transport proteins. This element is a metabolite-dependent riboswitch that directly binds FMN in the absence of proteins. RNAcentral also lists the same sequence under 1 other name. The record is from RNAcentral. Lineage: Bacteria; Pseudomonadati; Spirochaetota; Spirochaetia; Treponematales; Breznakiellaceae.